This is a non-coding RNA of Odocoileus virginianus texanus, 849 nucleotides long. NCBI's taxonomy places the organism in Eukaryota, Metazoa, Chordata, Mammalia, Artiodactyla, Cervidae. The record is from RefSeq and is a predicted model, not a curated record.
CCGACUCUUCGCGGCGCAGGCAUCAUCCCGAUCUUCAUUUUACAGUUGAGGGGAGCCAAGACUCAGCGUGGGGCUGACAAGUUCGCAGGAAAUAAGGAGACGCAACCACAGGCUGGAAAGAUGGAGAAGAGGAGAGAUGAGUAACCAGGAGAGAACCAAUGAGAUGGGCCGGCAGCGCCGGAUGAUCCGUGGGGCCAUGGGAAGGCGGGCGACGGAGGCCUACUCAGCAUCUUCAGCUGUUCCCUGGCCCUCCCUGCCAUCUGGACGCCUCCGCUAGGGGAUGUGCUGCUGGCAUAGGAGAGAUGCGAGAGGUAGAGGCCAAAGAAGCUGAGCUCGGAGGCUCCAGUGACCCAGGGACGUGGAGACCCUCCCUUUGCCCCUUCAGGGCCUAAGUCUGUGGAUGCUGACCACCCUCAGCCCACCCCCAAUAACUGGGAAUUUUCCUUUUUGGCUCGUUACGGUGGUGGGGUUCUCUGCCUCUGCCUGCCACUAAAUCAAGUCUUAGACAGACUUUCCCUCUGCACUCACAUGCCCCUCCCUUGUUGCAUGGUCUGUUCAGAAGCAGUAUCUUUGGGAAGAGGCCUGGCUCCUAAAUCCCAAGCCUGCCACUUACUAGCUAGAGACCUGAACUAGUGCCUUCCCCCUUUUGAAUCUCCUUUCUUCCCAAAUGGAGGGAGGCCAUCUACUUUUCUGAAUUGUCAUGAGGAUGGAAGAAAUAACAGAUGGUAAGCCUCACACACACUAACAAUGAAUGGUGACCACACCCCCACACCUUCUUUCGGGGUCUCCUCCCCAGGGCAGUUGACCCAGCAGUGCUCAAGAAUAAACCAAGGCUCUUUGAGACCCAUA